RNAcentral lists this unclassified non-coding RNA (2760 nucleotides) under Leishmania donovani. Its description in RNAcentral is "gene:unknown". The record is from RNAcentral. Lineage: Eukaryota; Euglenozoa; Kinetoplastea; Trypanosomatida; Trypanosomatidae.
AGUGACCCAAGGAGCGACCGUGCGCGCGUGUGUGCUCUGCGCAGACAUCGGCGAUAGAGGGGCAAACUCUUUUCUCAAAGACGCAACCCUCUUCUUCAAGCCUCUCGGUCCUGCCCCCCCCCCCCCCCCCCCCCAUCCACCCCGCCACACACACACACACACACACAACCUACCUACCUACCUUGCUUGUGGGCUCUAUCGACGAAAAAAACGACGGUACCACGCACUCCCACACCAUUAUCCCCCCUUGCUACCAUUUCCGUUCUGUGUGCCCUUGGGCACCCGUGCGAUGUGGAGGCGAUAUGUUCACCACGCAAGACCCUCAGGACAUCGUUGUCCUGAAGACGGCGGCUUUUCGGCACGCGACGCGUCGAGCGCGCCAUCGAAUGCUUGCCUCAGAAGCGUCCACAGCCUCGCCGUUGCGCGCAGUUUCGCAAGUAACACUACGCCCAAAUAGUCACGAAGCGAUGAGAGGCGCACACAAUACGGACAGUGGGCGCGAAUCGUUGAUAGCAACAACUACGGCACGCUCGGUGCCGUGCUUCACGUUUAAGCUGCCUAUACGGCCUGCCGCUAGGCCAGAUGCCAGCACGGGUGCUGGUGGGGGUGGCAUUAGUGCACCACGCUCGCAGGUGGCGCGUGCAGCCCUGGAAGAGGCGCUACAGAAGCACGAAGCUGCGCUCCGAUCCUGGGCAGAUGAACCUGCCCAGCACAUCUCACCCAGUACGAUGGAGGCGAUAGGCGUCCACUUGGGGCCCGCUGCGGUGCUGUCGUCCGCGACGCAGCCUCCACAAGGACUAGAGAAACUGCAUACAGGGGUGGUGCGCAUGCACUUUCAGCCUUCUGCAGGCGACUCAGCUUCCCGUGUGGCGGCGUUGGCCCAGCCGUACUGUAGAGUCCUCGCUCAGGGAUCGAUGGCUGGCACGGGCGUCCCAACCCAGGUGGUUCCGACGCGGACGUCAGCGGAAGUGGCAAUUUCGGGUGCUGCCAUGGAAGCACAUCACGACGCAAAGUGUGGUGGGGCGCCUGAGGCACUUUCGGAGCGCUCGAGAGACGACGGAUAUGCUGCUUCCGCGUCCUCAUCAUCGUGUGCACCGCAAGCGCAACGCGAUCACCAAAUAUUCGUCCCUCUUGCACGCCGCGCAGCUCUGACAUCAGGGGCUGCCUGCACCUCCCGCCAUGGUAUGCCGCUUGUGCCCUACCAGCUUCCACUGCGUAUGCGGCCCAGCGUUCCGGGGCCGGCGCUGCCGAACGCACCCGCCGCAACUAGAAGCCCCUCACCACCGGCUGAAACCACGCGACGCGCGUUCCUCGACGAGCAGGCUAAGCGAUACGCGCAGUGGCGUAGCCGCCAAGCCGCCGUGCUGCACCAGCUGGCGCCGGACAUGUGGGACCGCGCGUUGCCGCACUACGCAGCGUUGGAUCGGCAGCCACGCGCCAUGGACAGUGGCUUGCGCAACCACGCCUCUCACGUGCGUCGGUCACAGUACGAUAGUGGCGUUGUAUUUGUGUAGCCGAAGCGUAUCCGUGCCUGCAUCGUUGCCGGUCUCCAGCGGCUGCUGGCGUAGCGCUCCUUCCUGCCUCUCCCGCCAUCACUCACAGCUCCGCCUCACGUGUCGCACUCUGGCCCCUUGUUGUCACCUUUCUGGUUGGACAGGAUUGCCUUGUGCAUUUUCUGCACCCGCCCGUCCUCCCCCUCUUGCCUCGUUGCCGACCCUUUCUAACACACACGCACACAUAAAUAUAUGAACAUGCAUGCGUGGCCGUACACGUCACGUCAUGCUACGCGUCUACGCGUGCGGGUGCUCGUGUUUUGUGGGUUGUGCCGAGCUGGUUGCUUAUUCUUGUACAUCACUUGACCUGACAUUGUUUCCACUGUACCGCGGCAUCAACCUUUUCAACUGAGGAGUGCAUGUGCGCAUGUGUGCGUGUGUGGCGAUCACAACAGCACCGCGUCACGGCCGCACCACCGCUGAUUCUUCCACCCUUAAUUUUUUUUUCGUUUCUUGUCGUGCAUGCACGCGUGUACACCGUCUUCUGAUGCCUUCGUUGCCGCCACCGCCACCGCCUCCCUUCCCUCCUUGCUUGCAGGACCGUCUUGGUGCGCCGUGGGAUAGUGCUCUGUGUCGCAUUCGUCAAUGGCUCACAAGUGACAGGCGAUGGGCGAUCGUUCGACGCUUCUAUGAACGGCGUCGCGUUGCAUUCUUUUUUUUUUUUCAGCCUUUAAGGGCUCUCGUGCUCGCUGAUGACGAGGGGACAACGCCCCGCAGGGCGUGGUGUCUCAGGGUGCAGCGCAGCAGCCCCACCUACCCCUGCCAGUGCUCAACCGCUUCUCGUGGCGGCAGGGCGUGAGGUCCUGGACGGCGUUGCGUGGGGGAGGGGCGACCUGCCAGGGCGAACACGCUUCUGCGAUCGAUAUGGUGGGCAGAGCGUCGGCGUGACUCGAGCGUCUCCCACCCCCGGCCCUCACACUGUCUACUGGCGUGGGGGUGCCUGAGUGCCACCCGCGAGGAGGAUGCACGACGUGGCGACCUGCCUGAUGGGGGAGCGGCUGUGAGGCGACAUGCGAGGCGGCGGAUUUGUAGAGUCUGGGGCAGAGGCCGUGCUGCGAUGACUGGGUCCGCAUCGCUGUAACGCGCGUGUCUAGGGCUGCUGCGCGCGACGUGAUGGGCGCCUGUGGGGCAGGCCGUGUGGUGGUGGUGGUGGUGUCGAGGGGAGCACUGACCUCAUGCUGUAUGGCAGAGAAUGACCACGCGAGAG